UCUCUAUUUAAAUGUAUUCACUCUGAGGAAUUCACUCUGUCAAGAAAUGUUUCCAGCACCCACUCCCGGCCAGCCAGCCGAAAGGGCUCUAGGUGUUCGGAAGACAGCCGAGAGUGCGACCCCGUCGCUGCCUUAGGGACCAAGCACAAGUACAAAGAGAUCAGCAGCCCGUGGCUGUGAUGGGGGCACCCUGAAGACACACAGGCAGCUGAGGGGUGGAGAGAGGUGGGCUUGGUGUGGUCAGAACAUCCACUCUGAGGAGGUGCCAGGAGCAGAGACCUGCGGGGAUACUGAUUAAUUUAGGGCAGCAAUGUACCCAGACUCUGUUCGAGCUAGAGGCAGCUGGGUUACACUAUUCUGGCCAAUGAACUCUGUGAUGGCUGGAGCUGUGGCAGCCAUUUUGCAAUCAUGCAGGAGAGGCCAAGAGAAUCAUAAUGACAACAUUGAUAUCCUUGAGCCCUUGAAUUAUUGCCAAAAGCCACCUACAUUCAGACUUCUUCUUGUGUGAGAAAAAAGCUGCAGAGAAGAGUUGUGAUAAAAUACACUGCAUUAUGUCCUCUUCAGUUCCUUUCUUGUUCUCCCUCCCACAAGAAGAUAAUUUUCAGUUAAACUAUGAACUUAAUUCUUAAGUCCAGAUUCAGGCAAAACUCCCCUUGGGAGGACUCUCUGCAUAAGGCUGGUGAUUCCUACUUUCCCUCCCCAAACGGAAUAUCUUCCACUUUCGUUUAAUUAUUAAUAGGCUGCAGACAUAUUUAAGAUGCGACCCUAGCAUAAAGUAUAUUUAAAACUCUAGCGAGGACUCCAUUACGCGGAUGAAUAAAGGAUGAGUUCUCCAGCCUACCUUCCCUGACCGCUCAGCUGCUCUCCCACACGCAGCUCACUUUCCUGGUGGCUGUUCCGCCUGGUCUGUUUGUCCAGCCAGCUGGUAGGAUCGUAACAAGGACCAUGCUAGGAAAGGCACGAGCCCAGGACUCUCUGGGGAAUAGAAACGUUAAUGCCAACCAAGAAGCUGCACAUGAGGCUCCUUCGUCAAGACAGAUCCAAAGAGGAGGGUUAGUUCCAGAAAGAGAUUCUCCACAGCCUGACUCAGCGCGGGGCACAGAAAAUGGUCAAAGCUGUGUUUCCACUCGCCCGAGGCUGGUGCGUGAUCCAGAAACAACAGCAACUGAAACACACAGGCCUGGAGCAGGGGAAGCCGGGAGACUCUUUGGAGCAGAAGCAGCAAAGAGAAGCUGGGGUGGCACCAGGACGAAGUAUCAGCAUAAAUGGGUCUCAGUCAAACAUUUAUUUCUUGCACGUCAAAA
Molecule: long non-coding RNA, 1304 nt
Filed under: Equus asinus (donkey)
Lineage: Eukaryota; Metazoa; Chordata; Mammalia; Perissodactyla; Equidae
Description: lncRNA (ENSEASG00005027175.1, ENSEASG00020012405.1)
Source: RNAcentral